Long non-coding RNA from Rhineura floridana, 1041 nucleotides. RefSeq lists it as uncharacterized. The record is from RefSeq and is a predicted model, not a curated record. Lineage: Eukaryota; Metazoa; Chordata; Lepidosauria; Squamata; Rhineuridae. The transcript has 3 exons.
UUGGCAAAAGGCAAUCCAAUGGCCAGGAUGAUGGGUGUUGUAGCCCAGCAACAUCUGGAGGGACACAGGUUCCCUACUCCUGGGCCAUACAUUUAACCAAAACAGAAAGGAGCUGCAUGAUCUAAGCUCAGGAAGGCUGAUGCAGCUGCCAGAGGUCAACUAGAUCUGUCUGUUAAGUGUUCCUGACCUUCAGAGCGGUGGGAGAAAAAAAAGGUAUCAUCAGACAUGUUAAGCAGAGCAAUCCUCUUAACAGCAGAACAUUUUGUGAGAGCUUUAAACAGGAUUACAUAACUUUAUUUGUAGUUCUAAGUGCAAACCUUCCUUCCAACCACCAGGACAAAAUGUUGCACAGGUUUAGUUGCAAGGCUGAUUUGCAAUUUCAGCAAAGAGUCACCGGACCCAAUCUGGGAGCUCAGCUUUGAGGAUAUGCAUGCUAAAAGACUGAUGGACUUUUUCCCCCACAAAGUAAUUUAAAAAAAAAAAGGUACCAUGGUGUUCAGUUGCUGCGCUGCUGCAACUAAACUUAGAAGAGAAGAAAAGCAAGUUGCAGAAGAGGCUCCGAGACCCUUUAUUUGGGGGCAUGUGGCAAUAAAAGUGCCAUGGAUGUUUGUCUCUCGCUGUCCAUUGUUUUGUUCUUUGCAACCAUGGCACUGGACGCUAGCAGUAUACAAAGAACGUGUGCUUUGGACUCCCAACAGUGUGGGUUGCAGGCAGAGCACAGCCGGUCCCUCCCAGUUCUCCCACAGAGCAAUCUCACACCAAUUCAGAAGUGACUAGAAAUGAAUUUGUGGAAAUUGGAGAUGCAGACUUUAGAACAGAGUCAUCAGUGCACAAGUGGACAAGUUUUAAUAUAGGUUCUUCACAGAUCUUACACAGAACAGACUCCUACCAGUCCCAAAAGUGAGUGGAAAUUAAUCAGUAUAAACUUUUAAUGCAGAGUCACAAACAGACAGAACAAUCCUAUACUUUGUCUAUUAGGAAAUCAGUCCCGCUGAGUUGUAACCAAGGAGGGCUAAAUUAAUCCAUGGCUAUUGAAACUAU